RNAcentral lists this microRNA precursor (74 nucleotides) under Myotis brandtii (Brandt's bat). RNAcentral describes it as "mir-9193 microRNA precursor family". It matches the Rfam family "mir-9193 microRNA precursor family". The record is from Rfam by way of RNAcentral. Lineage: Eukaryota; Metazoa; Chordata; Mammalia; Chiroptera; Vespertilionidae.
ACUGGGGAGGGGGGGUGUCUCAGCCUGGAUUGCAAGAGGGUGCAGGCCAGGCCAAGGGACCCCACUGGUGCACG